This 1044-nucleotide long non-coding RNA is filed under the name Coturnix japonica (Japanese quail). Its description in RNAcentral is "lncRNA (ENSCJPG00005019406.1)". The record is from RNAcentral. Lineage: Eukaryota; Metazoa; Chordata; Aves; Galliformes; Phasianidae.
AUGAAUUCAGUAUAUGCAGAAAUGAGCCUUGAUGUUAUCUGGGUGCUGUUCCCUCAGCAGGCAGGAGUCCCCGACUGUGCAGAGGACCACUACAUUGCUGUCUUACUGCAUAAGUCUCAGCAGCCCUACUACCACCAUCCUCAUGCUGCCUCCUUCCCACACCAAUCACUGCUAUUUAAGGCACUGCACUUGGGCUGGGACAGUCCCAAGUGUUUAUACAAAUUGGGGGAAGAUCUCCUCAUGAGCAGCCCUGCAGAGAAGGACUUGGGGAUCCUGGUGGAUGAGAGGCUGGACAUAAGCCAGCAGUGUGUGCUUGCAGCCCAGAAGGCCAACUGUGUUCUGGGCUGCAUUAAAAAAGGGGUGGCCAGCAGGGAGAGGGAGGUGAUUGUCCCCCUCUACUCAGCUCUUGUGAGGCCCCAUCUGCAGUACUGCAUCCAGGCCUGGGGACAUGGGUACAGGAAGGACAUGGAGCUCUUGGAGUGGGUCCAGAGGAGGGCCACUAAGAUGAUCAGAGGGCUGGAGCACCGCUCCUGUGAGGGAAGGCUGGGGGAACUGGGAUUGUUUAUCUUGGAAAAGAGACAGCUCAUUGUGGCCUUCCAGUAUUUGAAGGGAGCACAUAAACAGGAAGGGAAACAGCUAUUUAGAAGGGUGGACAGGGAUAGGACAAGGGGGAAUGGUCUUAAACUGAGACAGGGGAGGUUUACAUUAGAUAUUAGGAGGAAGUUUUUCACACGGAUGGUGAUGCUGCACUGGAACAGGUUGCCCAAGGAGGCUGUGGAUGCCCCAUCCCUGGAGGCAUUCAAGGCCAGGCUGGAUGUGGCUGUGGGCAGCCUGGUCUGGUGGUUGGUCACCCUGCACAUACCAGGGGGAUUAAAACCAGAUGAUCAUUGUGGUCCUUUUCAACCUAGACCAUUCUAUGAUUCUAUGGGUCCUGUUCCCAUCCACUUUGGAAAUGAGCCUUUCUCAGCAGGGCUGGUGUCAAAGUGUUGUCACUGUGUGGGCAGUGAAAGGAGCUCAGUCCUGUGGGAUACAUUUCAAAUUUGA